GGGGGAGGGGACAGGUGUUGGGCGCUGGGGAUUGGAAUAGGGGAGUCGGACAGAGAAAUUGGUCCAGGGGAUUCUCUCCCCACUUAUUGGGGAAGGCGUUUUAUUUGAAUCCGGAUCCCCUGUCCCAUUUUCUCUAUCCCAGCCCCCUGUUCAGCCCCCAAUGAACGAUACAUGUCCAAAUGUAAUUUACCUAAUUACAAAAUCUCCCCUGAUAAAUAACAUUUGGACAGGUGUCAUCUAUUGAGAGAUGGAACAGAGGGCUGGGACAGAGAAAAUGGGACGGGUUUCCCCAGCCGUUUUAUUUAUGUCAAGUUAAAACUUAAAAGAACUAGACUGUAACCAUUGGGCUCCCCUUCCGGAUGGAAUUGCUUGCAACAAGUGGCAGAUCCGCCUUCCCACACAUAUAGGACAAAUCGGUAAAUUAACAAGAAAAUGGACUCUAAUGGCAUUAAAUUUUGCGUGUGAUAUUCAGAUGGUAUUAAAUAUCAAAAUACAUAAUGGAUCAAAAUCGGUAAAAAAAAAAUUUUUAAAAUGAUCUAAAUAUUUUAUUUUUUAAGUGCUCAUAUACUUAAAAAAAUAAACUAUUUAUUAAUUAUUUUAAAAAAUAUUUAUUUAUCUUAAUAGUUGUAUUGAGAAAAAAGAUUAAAAGUCAUAAAUCAAAGGACAAGUUUAUCAUUUUUGUGCAUAAAUAAGAUAUAAGGGAGAAUCAUGACAUUGGUUUCAAAGUAAGAGAGAUCAGUAUUAUUUAUGAAACUAUAUUGGCGAUAACAAUAUUUCUUUUGUCACCUAAAAAAAAUAUUUUUUCCCCCUCACCUGUCAUUCUAAACGAACCCUUAUACUGUGUUUAGAUCCAGAAUUUAUUGAGAAAAAUAAAAUAAAGAAAGAUUAAAGGAUCCAACGAUCCUAAAUGAUUGAAUCUUUUAACUUUUUUUUAUUUUCUUUUAUAAUUUUUUUAUCCAAAUACAACUUAGGAGUUUUAAGGGGAGGAUUUCCCGUUUAAGAGUCAACGAAGGAGAUGGGUGAAGGUUUUUAUAGUUGCAACUAUUUGUUUUCUCUUAUUUGAGUUUGGUGUCAUUGUAUAGAUUUUAUGUUGUGUGCCUUCUUGUUAAAGUGAUGACGUGUGUCACGGGCUUAGAUCUUGAACCCUUCGAUCCGUGCGGCCUUAGACACCUUUCGCCUAUAAAAGAUACUAAGUAAGUCUAGAACCACCAAAAGAGAAGGCUAAGAGAGCAAAAAAGCAACAAGAGAAUUCUAGAGAGAGAGCGCUUGGAGAAUGCUUUGUGUUCUCAAAACUUAGAUUCCUUGAUUGCAUUCUCUAUGUGUUUACAAAUGAGAGCUUAGCCCUUAUUUAUACUCUCCUACAUUCUCUAGAAUGUUCUAUACUUUUCUAGGUUAUUUAUGUACAUAUCUUCUCAAUGGAAG
This 1422-nucleotide long non-coding RNA is filed under the name Actinidia chinensis (golden kiwifruit). RNAcentral describes it as "long non-coding RNA (ACHI_LNC005135)". The record is from RNAcentral. Lineage: Eukaryota; Viridiplantae; Streptophyta; Magnoliopsida; Ericales; Actinidiaceae.